Long non-coding RNA from Cercocebus atys (sooty mangabey), 1781 nucleotides. RefSeq lists it as uncharacterized. The transcript has 5 exons. NCBI's taxonomy places the organism in Eukaryota, Metazoa, Chordata, Mammalia, Primates, Cercopithecidae. The record is from RefSeq and is a predicted model, not a curated record.
GUUUCUAGUUUGAUGAAAUUUCAUUAAAUGGAAUUUUAAAAAUGUUCUUCUUUUAAGAUAGUUUUAGAUUUAUAGAAGAGUUGUAAAGAUGGUACAGACAAGAUGUAUUUCUUUUGUAUAGCUUUUCCUAGUAAUUAACAUUUUAUAUAACCAUGGUGUAUUUAUCAAGACUAAGAAAUUAAUACUGGUACAACACUAUUAACUAAACUAUAGACUUUAUUCAGAUCUCAUCAGGUUUUCACUGCUGUCUUUUUUUUUUUGGUGUCAGGAUCCAAUCCAGGAUGGCAUGUUGCAAUUUAGUCAACAUGUCUCCUUAGUGUAUUUCAAUCUGUGUCAAUUUCUUGGUCUUUCCUUGUUUUUUUAAUGCCUUUGAUUAUUGAAGAUUAAUAGUUAAAUUUUAGUACAAUGUUCCUCAAUCUGGAUUUGUCUGAUGUUUUCUCAUGAUUAUCCUGGAAUUAUAGAGUUUCAGAAAGAAUAACGCAGAGGUGAAGAGCCCUUCUCUUAACAUCAUAUCAGAAGGUACAUGGCGGGUGAUUUUAUUGCAGUUAUCCUGUCCCUACACCACCAUUAUAGAUUGGGUGUGGUGAGAGAGACGAUAGUUUGUGUUUUUAGAUUUUAAUUUGUGAGAUCAUGAGGAUAUUCCUCCAGAUUUGAUGGAAAAGAUAGCAUAUCACUGGAUGCUGGAUCUUGAGCUGGACGCAAUGACUGGAUGUCACUUUAGAAUGUUUCUCUUGAGGAGGGAGUGAGAAUGUUCUAUAUAUGAAUGGAAGUGUGAAACAGCUCUGGUUACUAGAAGGGCAGACCAUGGCAGAAAUGGACUAGGUUUUCACCAAAUAUAUUUCCUCUUCUUGGACACACAGUGAAAUAAUGUUUCUUAGCUUUCUUGUAUCUGUGUGGGGCCAUAAGAAUAGUUCUUUUCAAUAGAAUGUGACUUGGAAUGAUUUGUCACUUCUGGUUGCAGAUUGUUAAGAGGGAGUGCCUUCUAUACACUCUCCCCCUCAUCUCUCAACUGCCAAGUGGAUGCUGGGGGCUUCCUUGAAACUAUGAGUUGGAAGUGGUAGAGCCAGAGACUGCAAAGAGGCCUGUACUUUGAGGACAACUUGGAGAACAGUCCAAGCCUAUGCUAUGAGAAAGAAUUUAAGAACCAUAAGAAAUCAGAUCUAUUUCAAAGGUCAACUUAGAAGGAAAAUGUUUCAAUUGAGAGGAAGAUGUUAGCUGAGAAUGAAAGGCUGUUUUAGAUGGCAAGUUCAAAGAAAGGAGACUACUAUGAAAAGGUGAGCUUCAUCCAAUCAGCUAAAGAUGUUAAAAGCAAAAACUGAAGUUUCCUGAAGAAGAAGAAAUUCUGCUUCAAGACUGUAUCAUAGAAAUCCUUCCUGAAUUUUCAGCCUGCUGGCCUGCUCUAUGGAUUUUGAACUUGCCAUCCCCCAAAAUCAUUGAGAGGGAAGGAAGUUGAAUUACAGAUGGUUAACUCCCACCUGUAUGUCCUGUGCUGGUGAAGUGAUACCAGGUGUACAUCAAGUGUUAUGGGAAUGAGGUGGAAACAAGGUAAGAAUCACCAGACUGAGGACGUUAUGCAUGGAGGAUGUUGCAGUUCUCAUGAAUGUUGCUCCCAGAUCUCUUCUCCUUUGGCUCCUAGGGUCUUUGAAGAGAGGUGAGGGGAGCAAAUCUCUACUAAAGUAGACCCAGAGAUCAGAAGAAACCAGGUCAAAGCUGCUUCCCACCAAGCUGUGUGGUCCCGGGUUCCCCCUCGCUCUGUCUCCUGCUGCCACGUAAGACGUGCC